CGAAGCACGGGCAAAGGUAAGAAUCGUUGGGCUUUGUGUGGUUGCUGAGGAUAGAAGGAAAUGAGCACCACUGAAAGCGUGGUGUUAGGGGAACUCUUUGCGCUAAUUAAAAGCAGCAGCUAGAAAAAGCUAAAAGAAAUGAGCGUUCGUUUCUUAUAUCAUCUCUCUACUAGUGCCCUCCACCCCCAUUCCCUCUCUCUCUCACUCCCCGCCCCGCCCCCCCCCCCCCCCCCCACUCUCUCUCUCUCUCGGCACCCUCUUCCCCUAUUCCCUUUCCCUCCCUCUCUCUCUCUACAACUUGGAGUAGAUCUAGUUUGGAUUUCCUUUAGCCUUUCCCCCUUCACUCGUUUUUAGGGUUUUGAAUAUGGCUUGGAGCAAAUCUCGUUGAGGUCGAAGCAUUUGGUGGAGGGUUUCUUGUAGAAAUUGCAUUUUGUGAGAGAAGUCCCGUUUUUUGAUUUUUUAGGCAUUUGGAGUUAUAGAUCUGAUUGGCAUUGAAUUGCAAAUUCCAGACGUGCCGAAGAAAGCGAAAGAGGAGUUCGAUUUCUAGACGAGCAGGGGCCUAAUUUUAUCAUGUGAGGUCGGUUUUUUCAAAGGGGUUUUGAAGAUUCUCGAGAAGGACGAGCAUAAUUCAAUGGGGUGGGACUGGAAGAGGUUUUUAAGAUAUUUUUUGAAGUGAGUUUUGAUCCUUGCAAGGAAGCGACAGGAUCUUGCCAUGGUUUCAUGAUCCCAUUGCAGAAGACUAGGGUUUUGGGUGCUUUCGCAAUUCAUUCUUGAUGCUCAAAGAUCGGUUGGAUGGUUCCAUGAUGAGUCUAACUCGGGACUCACUGACGAUUCCAGCUACUCCAAACCCCGACCGCUACUUACUGUCUUAGAAUUUCUUGGUGUUUGUUGUUGUUUGAUAUGUGAGAAGUGUAUUUGGUGUGAGUUCAA
Long non-coding RNA from Magnolia sinica, 930 nucleotides. RefSeq lists it as uncharacterized. The record is from RefSeq and is a predicted model, not a curated record. Lineage: Eukaryota; Viridiplantae; Streptophyta; Magnoliopsida; Magnoliales; Magnoliaceae. The transcript is spliced from 2 exons.